RNAcentral lists this ribosomal RNA (403 nucleotides) under bacterium. RNAcentral describes it as "partial 16S ribosomal RNA". It matches the Rfam family "Bacterial small subunit ribosomal RNA", at positions 355 to 776 of the family's 1533-position model. The record is from RNAcentral.
UGGGGAAUAUUGCACAAUGGGGGAAACCCUGAUGCAGCGACGCCGCGUGAACGAAGAAGGUAUUCGUAUCGUAAAGUUCUGUCCUAUGGGAAGAUAAUGACAGUACCAUAGAAGAAAGCUCCGGCUAAAUACGUGCCAGCAGCCGCGGUAAUACGUAUGGAGCGAGCGUUGUCCGGAAUUAUUGGGCGUAAAGGGUACGCAGGCGGUUUAAUAAGUCGAAUGUUAAAGAUCGGGGCUCAACCCCGCAAAUCAUUGGAAACUGAUAAACUUGAGUAGUGGAGAGGAAAGUGGAAUUCCUAGUGUAGUGGUGAAAUACGUAGAUAUUAGGAGGAAUACCAGUAGCGAAGGCGACUUUCUGGACACAAACUGACGCUGAGGUACGAAAGCGUGGGGAGCAAACAGG